This 1468-nucleotide ribosomal RNA is filed under the name metagenome. Its description in RNAcentral is "bacterial SSU rRNA". It matches the Rfam family "Bacterial small subunit ribosomal RNA". The record is from RNAcentral.
AGAGUUUGAUCCUGGCUCAGGAUGAACGCUAGCGGCAGGCCUAACACAUGCAAGCCGAGGGGUAACGAUGGUUUCGGCCAGGCGACGACCGGCGCACGGGUGAGUAACGCGUAUGCAACCUGCCCUCUACAGGAGGAUAGCCCGGAGAAAUCCGGAUUAAUACUCCAUAGCAUCUAUUUUUCGCAUGGGAGAUAGAUUAAAAUUUCGAUGGUAGAGGAUGGGCAUGCGUGCCAUUAGCUAGUUGGUAAGGUAACGGCUUACCAAGGCAACGAUGGCUAGGGGUUCUAAAAGGAUGGUCCCCCACACUGGUACUGAGACACGGACCAGACUCCUACGGGAGGCAGCAGUGAGGAAUAUUGGUCAAUGGGUGAGAGCCUGAACCAGCCAUGCCGCGUGCAGGAUGACGGCCCUAGUGGUUGUAAACUGCUUUUAUACAGGAAUAAUUCCUUCCACGUGUGGAGGGUUGCAUGUACUGUAAGAAUAAGCAUCGGCUAACUCCGUGCCAGCAGCCGCGGUAAUACGGAGGAUGCAAGCGUUAUCCGGAUUUAUUAGGUUUAAAGGGUGCGUAGGCUGUUGUGUAAGUCAGUGGUGAAAUCUUCCAGCUUAACUGGGAAACUGCCAUUGAUACUGCAUAACUUGAGUUCAGUUGAGGUAGGCGGAAUGUGUAAUGUAGCGGUGAAAUGCAUAGAGAUUACACAGAACACCGAUUGCGAAGGCAGCUUACUAAGCUGAAACUGACGCUAAUGCACGAAAGCGUGGGGAGCGAACAGGAUUAGAUACCCUGGUAGUCCACGCUGUAAACGAUGAGCACUCGCUGUUGGCGAUAUACUGUCAGUGGCUGAGCGAAAGCAUUUAGUGCUCCACCUGGGGAGUACGUUGGCAACAAUGAAACUCAAAGGAAUUGACGGGGGCCCGCACAAGCGGUGGAACAUGUGGUUUAAUUCGAUGAUACGCGAGGAACCUUACCUGGGUUUAAAUUUAGAAAGAUUUUGUCCGAAAGGGCAUUUCCCUUCGGGGCUUUUUAGAAGGUGCUGCAUGGCUGUCGUCAGCUCGUGCCGUGAGGUGUCGGGUUAAGUCCCAUAACGAGCGCAACCCCUAUCGUUAGUUGCCAUCGGGUAAUGCCGGGAACUCUAACGAGACUGCCACCGUAAGGUGAGAGGAAGGUGGGGAUGACGUCAAGUCAGCACGGCCCUUACGUCCAGGGCUACACACGUGUUACAAUGGCCAGUACAAAGGGCAGCUACAUAGUGAUAUGAUGCUAAUCUCUAAACCUGGUCUCAGUUCGGAUCGAAGUCUGCAACUCGACUUCGUGAAGCUGGAAUCGCUAGUAAUCGCGUAUCAGCAAUGACGCGGUGAAUACGUUCCCGGGCCUUGUACACACCGCCCGUCAAGCCAUGGAAGCCGGGGGUACCUGAAGUCUGUAACCGCAAGGAGCGGCCUAGGGUAAAACUGGUGACUGGGGCUAAGU